Molecule: ribosomal RNA, 272 nt
Filed under: uncultured bacterium
Lineage: Bacteria
Description: partial 16S ribosomal RNA
Rfam family: Bacterial small subunit ribosomal RNA
Source: RNAcentral
AUAGAUGGCCCCGGGGCCCAUAAGUUAGUGGUGGAGNAACGGUUCACCCAAGGGGACGAUGGUUACCGACCNUGAGAGGUGUUCGCCCACACUGGACUGAGACACGCCCCAGACUCUUACGGGAGGCAGCAGUAGGGAAUCUUCCCGCAAUGGACGAAAGUCUGACGGAGCAACGCCGCGUGAGUGAUGAAGGUUUUCGGAUCGUAAAACUCUGUUGUUAGGGAAGAACAAGUAUCGGAGUAACUGCCGGUACNUUGACGGUACCUAACCAG